Molecule: long non-coding RNA, 2416 nt
Organism: Panicum hallii
Lineage: Eukaryota; Viridiplantae; Streptophyta; Magnoliopsida; Poales; Poaceae
Exons: 2
Source: RefSeq, a predicted model, not a curated record
GGUACACCAGCACCUCUAUGAGUCUUAGUUCCCUUCUCCCUCUCCUAAGCGUUCUUGCUUAGUCAAGCUCUUUGAGCUAAUUAAGUAAAGAAUCUUAGUAUUAGCUGACCUCCAAAAAAAUAGUAGCUAGUGAUUAGUACUAAUCAAGAUUAGUACAGUAAGUAAUUGCCAUCAAUGAAGAAAACCCAAAAAUAUUUCCCUUUCCGAAUAAAAUUUGUGGCGCCCUUGAACGUUUUUGGCUGUUUGACCCCCACAAGGACGACUGACCCGACUAAUCCUUUUUGGUUAGUCCCUCGGGUAUUUGUUGCACUAAUCUUUUGCAGGGAUCAUGUGGAACCCCAUCAAGAAGACGCUCAAGAAGAACAGCUCCGCCGGCUCUUCUCGGCACUCGCGGAGUUAGGCAUCCUCCUAGGAUGACAUGUCGGUGGACUUGGACCGCCAGACCAGUGUUUCCUAGGAGGACACAAUUCCUGCAAUGGCUAGGACCGCGUCCGCAUUCGUAUUCACAUCUUGGAAACGAUCGAACAGAUCAUACCUGGAACGAUUAUGAGCGGGAGGCGUUGGAGCUCCUGAAGAAGCAAGUUUCAGCCACGUCAAGGUUUUCGAGCCCCUCUUCCUCAUCAAAACAGACUUGAAGCAGGACAUGAACCGCGCAUUUGCUUACGCCGGUUGGGAGAAUUUUGCCGACAUCACUGAGGCAGGUUCGCAGCUCUUAACCAUAGAAUUUCUCAUGUCUCUUAGCAUUGAAGAAAUGGGCAAAACAACUAAAGUCUAUUUUCAUUUCUUUAAUGAACAAUAUGAGUUAACACUAAAAGAGCUUAGCGUAGUGCUUGGUUUUAAUAAGAAGUGUGUGUUAGAUCCUAAUGCCUUCGCUAAAGACCAUCAAUAUGAUUGUACCACCUGGUGGAAUUCAAAUUUCUGAGAAGCGUGUUAGCAGCAAUAACAAUAUAGUGUCAAUCCAUAAUCCAAUUCUUAGGCUGCUAGCAAAAUGGCUUUGCAUGGCUAUGCACCCGCACUCCGACCUGCGCUUCUGUAGCUCUCCGGAGCUGCAAUGUCUCUUUGCUAUGGCAGAAGAUGAUCGUGGGCAGGAGGCCUCAUCGACAUAACCUCUUUGGUUUCGCGCAUUGCUGCGCAUGGCAGUGCAUUGGAGAAUGCCCAGGUCACCUACUUGCCUUUGACAGAAGCAUACCAGCUCCAAGUUGGCCUAGAGCAUUUUGUGCAGGGACAUCUGAUGUGCGAGGAGCCGGGAAACUCUCUUUUCAUGUGUUAUCCCGGGUACGAUAGAGAAAUCGAGCUCCCAUGCUCGAGAUUCUCUCUCUUCUUGGUCAAGCGACUAACUUUGCAGAUGGAGAGGAAGGAGUCGGCUCGCCACAGUGUUGCUGGUCCGGUGACAUGAGGCCGGGCACGACGCAACACCCAGCAGGACUAUCACAGCCACAACCUCAGGUAGAGGCUUCCUAGCAGACUGGACUAUCUACGACACACAUGAGCUUUGAGGACACCUAUGAGCAGUACACUCAUGGUGGCUCGACCGCCAUUGGAGGUAGAACUGGGAUUCUAUUACCCCCCAGGUAUGUGGAGUUCCUAUGGACCGCAGGUAGGGCCAUCGACUUCGGCACGCUAUGGUUAUGAGAACCUGAUCAUGCGGGGGAUCAUGAACCUCACGACCUGAGUCGACGCUCUGGGUCUGCAGCAGGACCAGAUCAGCCAGGAUCUUGUACACAACACCGAUCUCACGCAGCAGAACUGGGGAAUGACCACAUCCAUGCACUACGACAUCUCUAGCGUCUUCAACCAUCUAGGUCUCGGUUCCGACAAGUAGCAGCACUACUACCACCACCAGCGGCACUACGACCCCAACCAGCAGAACUGAGCUUCAUCUAAGCUUGGGGGUGUAUUCAGGUAUGGAGAAUUUGAAGGCAUACUUGUUCCUCAUCUUUUGCUAAGUCAAAAACCGGAUCCAAGGGAGAAACAAGUCAUAAACCUUGAUCAAGAUGUGCAUGUGUGUGGGUAUUGUGGAUGGAUGUAUGAACUCCUUUUCAUGAGCCAUCUCUCCUUUAUUAUUUUUUCUUGGAUAUGUUCUAUCAUUCUUUCUUUCUCUCGUUUUCUUCUCUUUUUUCCUUGGACCAUCAUGUGUCCAAUUCUUUCUUUUUCUUUUCAUGCCUUCUUGAGCAUGUCCUUUAUUUCUUUUUGCAUAACCCAUAUCCUUUUUCUCAUGGCACUUUUGGAGAGAGCGAGUGGUCAUGAAACAUGGAGUUUUAUUUUGUGGGUGGAUGGAUGAAGUGUAUGCUAACUUCCGGUGUAGAAGCAUAGCGUAUGGUGGAGGCGUGUAUGUCAUCUUGAUCAUGGGAGUUUGAAAUAUAUUUCAAAAAGGGUUACAGCAGUUUGAUGAAGCUCAAUGAGAGAACAAGUUGCA